GCUGAGGUGGCGGAACUUGGCAUACGCGCACGUUUGAGGGGCGUGUCCUUUACUUGGGGUGCGGGUUCAAAUCCCGCCCUCAGCA
This 85-nucleotide transfer RNA is filed under the name Endomicrobium sp. RNAcentral describes it as "tRNA-Leu". It matches the Rfam family "tRNA". Rfam says of the family: Transfer RNA (tRNA) molecules are approximately 80 nucleotides in length. Lineage: Bacteria; Pseudomonadati; Elusimicrobiota; Endomicrobiia; Endomicrobiales; Endomicrobiaceae. The record is from RNAcentral.